RNAcentral lists this ribosomal RNA (642 nucleotides) under uncultured beta proteobacterium. RNAcentral's name for it is "bacterial SSU rRNA". It matches the Rfam family "Bacterial small subunit ribosomal RNA", at positions 68 to 705 of the family's 1533-position model. The record is from RNAcentral. Lineage: Bacteria; Pseudomonadati; Pseudomonadota; Betaproteobacteria.
GGCAGCACGGGGGCAACCCUGGUGGCGAGUGGCGAACGGGUGAGUAAUGCAUCGGAACGUGCCCAGUAGUGGGGGAUAACCCGGCGAAAGCCGGGCUAAUACCGCAUACGACCUAAGGGUGAAAGCGGGGGACCGUAAGGCCUCGCGCUAUUGGAGCGGCCGAUGUCUGAUUAGCUAGUUGGCGGGGUAAAAGCCCACCAAGGCGACGAUCAGUAGCUGGUCUGAGAGGACGACCAGCCACACUGGGACUGAGACACGGCCCAGACUCCUACGGGAGGCAGCAGUGGGGAAUUUUGGACAAUGGGCGCAAGCCUGAUCCAGCCAUGCCGCGUGCGGGAAGAAGGCCUUCGGGUUGUAAACCGCUUUUGGCAGGAACGAAACGGCGCGAGCCAAUACCUCGCGCUAAUGACGGUACCUGCAGAAUAAGCACCGGCUAACUACGUGCCAGCAGCCGCGGUAAUACGUAGGGUGCAAGCGUUAAUCGGAAUUACUGGGCGUAAAGCGUACGCAGGCGGCUUUGCAAGACAGGUGUGAAAUCCCCGGGCCUAACCUGGGAACUGCAUUUGUGACUGCAUGGCUAGAGUCUGUCAGAGGGGGGUGGAAUUCCACGUGUAGCAGUGAAAUGCGUAGAGAUGUGGAAGA